UACGUAGGGUGCGAGCGUUGUCCGGAAUUACUGGGCGUAAAGAGCUCGUAGGUGGUUUGGCGCGUUGUUCGUGAAAACUCACAACUCAAUUGUGGGCGUGCGGGCGAUACGGGCAGACUGGAGUACUGCAGGGGAGACUGGAAUUCCUGGUGUAGCGGUGAAAUGCGCAGAUAUCAGGAAGAACACCUAUGGCGAAGGCAGCUCUCUGGGACGGUACUGACGCUGAGACGCGAAAGCGUGGGGAGCGAACAGG
Molecule: ribosomal RNA, 253 nt
Filed under: uncultured bacterium
Lineage: Bacteria
Description: partial 16S ribosomal RNA
Rfam family: Bacterial small subunit ribosomal RNA
Source: RNAcentral